RNAcentral lists this unclassified non-coding RNA (390 nucleotides) under Ceratocystis manginecans. Its description in RNAcentral is "partial contains ITS1, 5.8S rRNA and ITS2". The stretch from base 16 to 169 matches the Rfam family "5.8S ribosomal RNA". Lineage: Eukaryota; Fungi; Ascomycota; Sordariomycetes; Microascales; Ceratocystidaceae. The record is from RNAcentral.
CUAUAAAAAAGUUAAAACUUUCAACAACGGAUCUCUUGGCUCUAGCAUCGAUGAAGAACGCAGCGAAAUGCGAUAAGUAAUGUGAAUUGCAGAAUUCAGUGAAUCAUCGAAUCUUUGAACGCACAUUGCGCCUGGCAGUAUUCUGCCAGGCAUGCCUGUCCGAGCGUCAUUUCACCACUCAAGACUCUUUUGUUCUUGGCGUUGGAGGUCCUGUUCUCCCCUGAACAGGCCGCCGAAAUGUAUCGGCUGUUAUACUUGCCAACUCCCCUGUGUAGUAUAAAAUUUCUAAUUUUUCACACUUUGAAGUUCUUGUGUAACACGCCGCUAAACCCGCUCAACUUUUGUUGAACUUUUCACAAGGUUGACCUCGGAUCAGGUAGGAAUACCCGC